RNAcentral lists this long non-coding RNA (875 nucleotides) under Monodelphis domestica (gray short-tailed opossum). RNAcentral describes it as "lncRNA (ENSMODG00000046301.1)". Lineage: Eukaryota; Metazoa; Chordata; Mammalia; Didelphimorphia; Didelphidae. The record is from RNAcentral.
CCAAAGCCCAGAAAAACAGUCACCGUUGGCUUGGCUCCAAACUGCUUUUCCCGGUAAUAUUCCAGAUGAAAUUUUCCUUUGAUUGACAGCUGAUCCAUCUCCAGCUUUUGUCCUUUGCAUGCAUUUUCUUAUAAUUUCUCUCUUCUCCACAGAUACCAUUAGUAUAGAGAACUUCCUGGUGAAGAAACUCUCUUCAUUAACGCAAGUUGAGUCCUUCUCUACCAACUUCAUAUGGGUCAGUUCACCCUUCUUUUUGCAGUCUGCUAGCUUCCACUCCAGGGGACUCACCAAAUUGAUACCAGAAUUUAUGAAGACCCUUAUGAGACUUAGCCCUAAUGUGAUUCAAGUGGUUUGCCAACUUCUGUCUUCUCCUGGCAGCAGAGAUUACAGGUCUCAGUUCCAGCUAAAGAUCUUGAAAGGAAAUGAUGGCAGCAACUACACUGGGAGCUCACCCUGGCAUUGGGAAAGUUAAGUUGCUAAGCAGGAGGGCAACCAUAAAAGAUCCUUCAUUGAGUAGUAACAUGGUCAGAUCUGUGCUUUUGGAAAAUUAUUUAGGCAGUCAUGUGGACAACGGAUUGGAGAGAAGAAAUCCUGGAAGCAACAAAAAGCAUUUUUCUCCCCACUCCCUUAUUCCAUCAGUCCUCUUCACCCUUAGGAUAUUUUCCCUCCCUGCUCCCAAAGUAGAAACAGUUGAAGUGGUUAUUUAAACUCUAAUGAGACCAUUAUAAAGCAGCACUUUUUCAGCUUUUUGGUAUCCUGGACUCAUUUUAUAUUUACAUUUAUAUAUACUCAUUUUAUGGACUCUUGUGAAGCCUCUGGAUCCCUUCUCAGAAAAAUGUUCUUAAGUACAUAAAAUAAAACAAAACAAUAUUACA